UAAGGAAUAUUGGUCAAUGGACGCAAGUCUGAACCAGCCAUGCCGCGUGGAGGAUGAAGGUCCUCUGGAUUGUAAACUUCUUUUAUCUGGGACGAAACACUUCUUUUCUAAGAGGCCUGACGGUACCAGAUGAAUAAGCACCGGCUAACUCCGUGCCAGCAGCCGCGGUCAUACGUAGGGUGCAAGCAUUAUCCGGAGUGACUGGGCGUAAAGAGUUGCGUAGGCGGUUAGUAAAGCGAAUAGUGAAACCUGGUGGCUCAACCAUACAGACUAUUAUUCGAACUCACUAACUCGAGAGUGGUAGAGGUAACUGGAAUUUCUUGUGUAGGAGUGAAAUCCGUAGAUAUAAGAAGGAACACCAAUGGCGUAGGCAGGCUACUGGACCAUUUCUGACGCUAAGGCACGAAAGCGUGGGGAGCGAACC
RNAcentral lists this ribosomal RNA (424 nucleotides) under uncultured bacterium. RNAcentral's name for it is "bacterial SSU rRNA". It matches the Rfam family "Bacterial small subunit ribosomal RNA", at positions 355 to 774 of the family's 1533-position model. The record is from RNAcentral.